UACGUAGGGUGCGAGCGUUAAUCGGAAUUACUGGGCGUAAAGCGUGCGCAGGCGGUGAUGUAAGACAGUUGUGAAAUCCCCGGGCUUAACCUGGGAACUGCAUUGGUGACUGGCAGGCUUUGAGUGUGGCAGAGGGAGGUAGAAUUCCACGUGUAGCAGUGAAAUGCGUAGAGAUGUGGAGGAAUACCGAUGGCGAAGGCAGCCUCCUGGGCCAACACUGACGCUCAUGCACGAAAGCGUGGGGAGCAAACAGG
RNAcentral lists this ribosomal RNA (254 nucleotides) under uncultured bacterium. Its description in RNAcentral is "partial 16S ribosomal RNA". It matches the Rfam family "Bacterial small subunit ribosomal RNA", at positions 524 to 776 of the family's 1533-position model. The record is from RNAcentral.